This 428-nucleotide ribosomal RNA is filed under the name uncultured bacterium. Its description in RNAcentral is "bacterial SSU rRNA". It matches the Rfam family "Bacterial small subunit ribosomal RNA", at positions 354 to 796 of the family's 1533-position model. The record is from RNAcentral.
GUAGGGAAUAUUGCGCAAUGGGGGAAACCCUGACGCAGCGACGCCGCGUGAGUGAUGAAGGCCUUCGGGUCGUAAAGCUCUGUUGCAGGGGAAUAAAAAAAUGAAGGUACCCUGUGAGGAAGGAUCGGCUAACUUCGUGCCAGCAGCCGCGGUAAGACGAGGGAUCCUAGCGUUGCUCGGAAUCAUUGGGCGUAAAGAGGGCGUAGGUGGCUUGGUAAGUCAGGUGUGAAAGCCCAGGGCUCAACCCUGGAAGUGCAUUUGAUACUGCUGAGCUUGAGUGUCGGAGAGGUUACCGGAAUACCUGGUGUAGUGGUGAAAUACGUAGAUAUCAGGUGGAACACCGGAGGCGAAGGCGGGUAACUGGACGAACACUGACACUGAGGCCCGAAAGCGUGGGGAUCAAACAGGAUUAGAUACCCGAGUAGUCC